AUUGAACGCUGGCGGCAUGCCUUACACAUGCAAGUCGAACGGCAGCACGGGAGCAAUCCUGGUGGCGAGUGGCGAACGGGUGAGUAAAGUAUCGGAACGUGCCCAGUCGUGGGGGAUAACGUAGCGAAAGUUACGUUAAUACCGCAUACGAUUUAUGGAUGAAAGCGGGGGAUCGCAAGACCUCGCGCGAUUGGAGCGGCCGAUAUCAGAUUAGGUUGUUGGUGGGGUAAAGGCUCACCAAGCCGACGAACGGUAGCUGGUCUGAGAGGACGACCAGCCAAACUGGGACUGAGACACGGCCCAGACGACUACGGGAGGCAGCAGUGGGGAAUUUUGGACAAUGGGCGAAAGCCUGAUCCAGCCAUGCCGCGUGCAGGAUGAAGGCCUUCGGGUUGUAAACUGCUUUUGUACGGAACGAAAAGGUUUGGCCUAAUAAGCUGAGCUCAUGACGGUACCGUAAGAAUAAGCACCGGCUAACUACGUGCCAGCAGCCGCGGUAA
This 500-nucleotide ribosomal RNA is filed under the name uncultured bacterium. RNAcentral describes it as "partial 16S ribosomal RNA". It matches the Rfam family "Bacterial small subunit ribosomal RNA", at positions 30 to 523 of the family's 1533-position model. The record is from RNAcentral.